GUUUACGUAAGAAGGAGAGAUGGUUGGCAUCUCCCCUGACAUGGACGGGAAUAGCCUUCAGGCUUACCUGUUACCACACAUUCGGUUAAGGCUAUCCAUUUACGUGGACGUCUAACCCAAUUUUUGU
Lactuca sativa (garden lettuce) is the source of this 127-nucleotide small nuclear RNA. The record is from RefSeq and is a predicted model, not a curated record. Lineage: Eukaryota; Viridiplantae; Streptophyta; Magnoliopsida; Asterales; Asteraceae.